UUGAAAGGGAAACGAUUGAAGUCAGUCGUGCUGGCGCGAAAUCAACCUUCUCGUCUUAAGAUCACAUGGCGUGGCGAGCCUCAAAACCGUCACGAAGCGUGAACUCUUGGUGAAAUGGAGCACUUUCGUGUCCGCUGGUUAACAUCAAUUUCGAACGUCAUAAAAAGGCUGGAGGGAUGUGGCUCCUUCGGGAGUGUUAUAACCUUUAGCGGAAUGUGGUGUUCGGGAUUGAGGAUUGCAACGAAUACCUUUAGGGCUGUUCCACCUGGCUUCUCUUUGGUAUCCUGGUGACGACAGCUUGCUGACGUCGUUAGGAUUCGCCUUUGAACAGGCUAGAGUGUGAGCAAAUUCGUUAAGGAUGUUGACGUA
RNAcentral lists this ribosomal RNA (369 nucleotides) under uncultured Glomeromycotina. RNAcentral describes it as "LSU rRNA". The record is from RNAcentral. Lineage: Eukaryota; Fungi; Glomeromycota.